GCAGUACAAUUAUGAAGUCAUAAACAUUACAAGGACACCUGGCACACAGCCCGUCACAAUGAGUUAAACUUGAGUAUUCGAUUCCCUGAGCAACCAUGGAAGGAGAAUGAGACACCUCAUCAGGAAUUCAACUGUGUCAGAUCAGGAGGAAGUGAGGAUGGGAGGAGUUGAUUCAUCAAACUCAGACAAGACCCAGCCAACCUUCUACUUUCAUUCAGCCAGUAGAAACAGAUCAUAAAGGGGCCUGUCAAGUCCACAGUCAAAUGAACUGUAAGAGAGAACCUGGAAGAGACAGGGAAAACAGAUUAUUUGCCAACAAAUUACUGCUGUUCAGUGACAAAGAAAACAAUUACAGUGCAAUGGCUUAUCAUCAUUUUGUGGUAUGCUUUGAUGUUUCCCAGCCAAAGCAUUCUCUAUGUGAGUUACAUUAAAAUUCUUACAAAAUCAGUCAGUAAAUUACAAAAAGACAUUUCAUAUUAACUGUUACAAAAGUUUAUAAAAAUAUUGGUUAGAGAAAAAUAAGAAAGCAUCACUUUGUCUACUUAUCUCAAAAUAACAUACUCAAAAUGCCCACCUUUUUCUAGAUAACUCAUCCAGCUAUGUCCAGCUAAACAUAUUCACCAGUAGUUUGAUAUACCUCACAUCUCACAUUCAAAAGGAAGAACAAGGUGGACUACAAAUCAGCUUUUAUAUCCCGUCACAUCCUUAUCAUAACUCUACUUCCUUGGGGCUUAACAUAUUUUAAAAUUCUUUCUUCCCUAUCAGCAUUAUCAGCUUUUAACCUAUUUGCUGUUCCUUGGGCUUAUCCUGUUUAUUUUUCUAUCACCUUCAUGACUUGUAGCUGCAAGUGCACAUCCUUUUGCCCACUCAAGUGCUGAGGUAAAAUAUCUCUCCUGUGCCAUCACUGUGCUGCAGGAUGGAGAAAUGGGCAACCUUGUCAAUAACUUGUUUUGGAAAAUGAAGAUGUUGAAGUAGUGAUAGCUGUAAAAGAGGGCAUGUCAGUAUAAUAUGGGCUGUGGUAUAUAACUAGAAGAGAAUUAAAUAUUUGCUGUGAUCACAACUUCUAGGAAAAUAAAUUUCAUUGCCUUUCAUAACAGUGACGAACUUAAGCAUGGCACUUUAUGUAGUUAACAUAAAAUCAGCUAGAAUCAAAACAUCUAUAAACAGAUUAUAUGGGAUAGUAGGUCAUGUUGUUCAUGGUAUGCAUUUGACCUGGUAAUUGAUAGAUAUUUCAAAGUAAUUUACCAUUAGUCACUUUGUGCAAUUAUUCUAAUAGUUUAUUCAAUACCAAGUGUGGAACUUUUAUGAAAAAUAAAUAUUCAAGUUUAAGUUGAAAACAUUUCACAAAUAAAUUAAUGGUUUUAUUUUCCAGAGGGGCUGUAUCAGUGAAAAUA
Passer domesticus (house sparrow) is the source of this 1394-nucleotide long non-coding RNA. RefSeq lists it as uncharacterized. The record is from RefSeq and is a predicted model, not a curated record. Lineage: Eukaryota; Metazoa; Chordata; Aves; Passeriformes; Passeridae. The transcript has 3 exons.